This 106-nucleotide small nucleolar RNA is filed under the name Gossypium hirsutum (cotton). Its description in RNAcentral is "Plant small nucleolar RNA R71". It matches the Rfam family "Plant small nucleolar RNA R71". Rfam says of the family: R71 is a member of the C/D box family of snoRNAs containing the C (UGAUGA) and D (CUGA) box motifs. The record is from Rfam by way of RNAcentral. Lineage: Eukaryota; Viridiplantae; Streptophyta; Magnoliopsida; Malvales; Malvaceae.
AACCCAUGGUGAGGGCACCUUCUCAAUAAAUCAUUGUAUCUCUAUCAUGCAUCAUAUAAUGUUUCUAAAUCCGUCUGCACAAAAAAGCGAUAUCAUUCCUCAAUUU